Molecule: long non-coding RNA, 338 nt
Organism: Brassica rapa (field mustard)
Lineage: Eukaryota; Viridiplantae; Streptophyta; Magnoliopsida; Brassicales; Brassicaceae
Source: RefSeq, a predicted model, not a curated record
UCUUAGAAUUGUCUUCAGAUAUAAACUCCUUAUCCUUGCAGCUUGUCUUUCUCCCGUAAUCACCCAGCAAGACACCUCUAGAACAGGGGAAAACAUAAAACAAAAUUGCUUUCUUCCUUAACAAGAACCAAUUUUUUUUGUAUAUAGUAGUUGUGUUUUAUUAAUUUUACAUAAGCUAAUUAAUAGCAUGAUCUAUUAUUUUCUUACUUCUUAUAUAUUAAUGCUCACUUGAGGUUAAAGAGAGUAUUACUUACGAAGAAAGGCUGCUACAAAUGUCCCAAGUCCAAGGUAGACAAAUUUCAAACAAAUCUAAAACGAAGAAAAACAAACAAAGUAAA